AGCGAACGUUUGCGGCGGGCCUAACACAUGCAAGUCGAACGCACUAGCAAUAGUGAGUGGCGCACGGGUGCGUAACACGUGGGUAAUCAACCCUUCAGCCUGGGAUAACGACUCGAAAGGGUCGCUAAUACCGGAUACGGCGCGAGAGGCUUCGGCUUCUCACGAGAAAGCCACGCAAGGGGGCACUGAAGGACGAGCCUGCGGCCCAUCAGCUAGUUGGUGAGGUAAGAGCUCACCAAGGCUAAGACGGGUAGCUGGUCUGAGAGGAUGAUCAGCCACACUGGAACUGAGACACGGUCCAGACUCCUACGGGAGGCAGCAGUGGGGAAUAUUGCGCAAUGGGCGAAAGCCUGACGCAGCCACGCCGCGUGAGCGAUGAAGGCC
Molecule: ribosomal RNA, 384 nt
Filed under: uncultured bacterium
Lineage: Bacteria
Description: bacterial SSU rRNA
Rfam family: Bacterial small subunit ribosomal RNA
Source: RNAcentral